GACGAACGCUGGCGGCGUGCUUAACACAUGCAAGUCGAACGGUAAGGCCCUUCGGGUACGACGAGUGGCGAACGGGUGAGUAACACGUGGGUGAUCUGCCCUGCACUUCGGGAUAAGCUUGGGAAACUGGGUCUAAUACCGGAUAGGACCACGGUCUGCAUGGAUUGUGGUGGAAAGCUUUUGCGGUGUGGGAUGGGCCCGCGGCCUAUCAGCUUGUUGGUGGGGUGAUGGCCUACCAAGGCGACGACGGGUAGCCGGCCUGAGAGGGUGUCCGGCCACACUGGGACUGAGAUACGGCCCAGACUCCUACGGGAGGCAGCAGUGGGGAAUAUUGCACAAUGGGCGCAAGCCUGAUGCAGCGACGCCGC
RNAcentral lists this ribosomal RNA (368 nucleotides) under uncultured bacterium. RNAcentral's name for it is "bacterial SSU rRNA". It matches the Rfam family "Bacterial small subunit ribosomal RNA", at positions 28 to 400 of the family's 1533-position model. The record is from RNAcentral.